GACGAACGCUGGCGGCGUGCUUAACACAUGCAAGUCGAACGAUAAGGCCCUUCGGGGUACACGAGUGGCGAACGGGUGAGUAACACGUGGGUGAUCUGCCCUGCACUUCGGGAUAAGCCUGGGAAACUGGGUCUAAUACCGGAUAGGACCACUGCCUGCAUGGGUGGUGGUGGAAAGCUUUUGCGGUGUGGGAUGGGCCCGCGGCCUAUCAGGUUGUUGGUGGGGUGAUGGCCUACCAAGGCGACGACGGGUAGCCGGCCUGAGAGGGUGACCGGCCACACUGGGACUGAGAUACGGCCCAGACUCCUACGGGAGGCAGCAGUGGGGAAUAUUGCACAAUGGGCGCAAGCCUGAUGCAGCGACGCCGCGUGAGGGAUGACGGCCUUCGGGUUGUAAACCUCUUUCAGCACCGACGAAGCGCAAGUGACGGUAGGUGCAGAAGAAGGACCGGCCAACUACGUGCCAGCCGCCGCAGUAA
Molecule: ribosomal RNA, 478 nt
Filed under: uncultured bacterium
Lineage: Bacteria
Description: partial 16S ribosomal RNA
Rfam family: Bacterial small subunit ribosomal RNA
Source: RNAcentral